AAUGUGGGAGAGGCCGGCGGCUCUGACCUUGGUGUGUUACAGCCCUCGCCACCUCCCUCCGCUGCCCUGCAUGGGGACUCAAACCACAAACAGCAGUUCGGAAACAAGCAGACACGCGUCGGGCUCUGGUUCACGGGGAAGAGCGCUGUUUAGGAGACGGACGUGCUCCACGCAGACACGCGUCCGGCUCUGGUUCACGGGGAAGAGCGCUGUUUAGGAGACGGACACGCUCCACGCAGACACGCGUCGGGCUCUGGUUCACGGGGAAGAGCGCUGUUUAGGAGAUGGACGCGCUCCACGCAGACACGCGUCCGGCUCUGGUUCACGGGGAAGAGCGCUGUUUAGGAGAUGGACGUGCUCCACACAGACACGUGUCGGGCUCUGGAUCACGGGGAAGAGCGCUGUUUUGGAGAUGGACACGCUCCACGCAGACACGCGUCGGGCUCUGGUUCACGGGGAAGAGCGCUGUUUAGGAGAUGGACACGCUCCACGCAGACACGCGUCGGGUUCCGGCUCAUGGGGAGGAGCGCGCUGUUUAGGAGAUGGACACGCUCCACACCACCUCUGGCGUCCUCUCUCCCCUCAGGCUCUUGGGCAUUCAGAGCCAGGAGCUGCUUCUGGGGAGGCAGAGAUCCCUCCAAGCCCUAGGAAAGGCCUCCUGCUGCCUCGGGGGCAAAGCUGUGUCAGGCUCUUCUCUCCACGCUCCCCAAGGGAGGGGAGGUGCUCAGGAACAGACCAGGAGACUCAGUUGGUGCCAGGAUGGUGCCCGUGACCAGGGAGAUGUGCACAUGCGUUCAGCGUCACUGGGGAAGGGGCAGCCACACAGGGAGUCUCAGGCUGUAGCUGAAACCCCAGGCGUUUCCCUAAAGCACCAGCGUCCAGAACUGAAGAAGGGACCAGCCCCAUCCUGCCCCAGACCACAGUGGGGAACCUUCCAGGGCCAGUCUCCCCCUGCUGUCCUUCCCGCAGGGCCAGGGGCUGGUCAGCAGCACAGGCCGCCCCCGGCGCUGCAGUCCUGGACGUCCAUGGCUGACAGCUCCUGGGCCUGGAACACUGCCCUUUCCUCCAGCUCUGCAAAGACACUCGAGGUUCCAGCCAGGACAGGGGACAUAAAGGGGGUCAGCCCUCACGGACAGUGUUUCCAUAGAGGGUUCAGGAGGUUUAUAAACACCAGCAGGAUGGAUGACACCACAGCCACCACAGGAGCCAGCACCCAAGAGACCCCGUGAGAUGCCAAGGGUCACUCGUGCCCGAGGUGCCCUCCGGAACCGGAGACUACAGAUACCAGGGGAUGCUUGGGCUGAGUGUGUCCAGCCACGAAGGUUACUGCCCGGCCCUGGGAGGUCACUGGGACCAGGAGCUGCCCCCACAAGGAAUGGGCGGAAGGAAAGGGUGACCGAGUGCCCGGCCCCGUGCCCGUGGCUCAGGAAGACAUGCUGUGUUUGCAUUUGUGUUGUUCCCGGAGCGAGGGGAUGAGAAGCCUGAGGCCGGCCCGUCCCUGCUCCAGACGCCCCCCCACCGCUCCCCCUCAUAGGAGCCAAGGAGGAGGAAGUGCUUCAUUCUUUGCAGAGAAUACUCCGCCUGAUGCAAUUUGCGUGUGCAAGAUGUGUGAAGUGCCUUUUCCAUUUCAUCAGCACCCACAGCCUGUAUGAAGCUGCUGUUCGCUCUCUGCCAGCUCGUGGGGCUUGAAUGGUAUCACGGGAGGUUCUUCAUCUUGCGGUGGGAGGGUCGUGUCCUGCUGAUGGCUCUGCGUUUUCAUUGACCACAUUCAUUACAAAGAGACAUUUCAAAACAUGUUCUGCAGCGGAUUUGCUCCUUGGCCCCAAGAAUGGAAUACAGAUAAUCUCCUCACAUCCAGCAGGAAGCACUGGUUUUCUUUCGGGACACAACCGAACGUGCCAGGACUGCAGGAGCUGCUGGAUUAUGGAGCAGCAAACCAGGCAUGGCAGGCGGUGCUCGCGGAGGUACCACGGGGCGGACCAGGGUGUGCAGCGUUACGUGACUUGGGAAGAUGUGGGGGGCCCGAUGUAUCUACCAGGAGACAGUGGAGACCUCUACCCUUUAGCUGUCCUCUGUCCCACACAACCCAGCCCCCACUGGGCGGCCACUAUAGGGGAAGCUCAGCUGGAAGGUUCCAUGGGAGAGACCAGACCACUCCUGGCACUGUCCAGCAGCUGCCUUCGGCCCGUGUUCUGAAACCGGGAUGCACACAGCAUGGAGAUCUCAGCCCUGGGCAGGCCUUGCCCCCUCCAGCAGCUGCUCUCGGCCCAUCUCCCAAAGCCUGGACGCAUACAGUGGGGAGACCUCAGCUCUGGGCAGGCCUGGGUUCCCAUCGCCUCGGCGUCCCUGGGCCCAGGACACGGAAAGCACUUGCUACGUGCUGUGUACAAGAAUGAACGAAUCGGCCUGCCUAGCACCCCUUGGCCAGCUCCAGGCCUCCACUUGCUGUGUCAAGUGAGGCUCCCACGUGCUGAGGGGACAGAGGGUCCCUGUGACCUGCGAUGCUCCCACUCUCACCCACGCAGCUGCUCACCUACACAGCCGGCUUCUCCAGGGCUAACAGGCCACCCAGAUGCAAGCCAGUCUCAGCCCCUGACCACACUGGUUUUCAAAUGAACUGUGGGCUCUCAUGACGGAGAAGUGGCUGGGAGUCCCAGUGUGGGAUGUGGUGGGACGGGGCUGGGGUCUGUACAGAGACGAUGAUGGAGGAGCUCCUGGGGGCACAAAGACCUAGUGUCGCUCUCAGGGCUGGGUCUGCAGGCCACUCUCCCUCCCUCAACAACACUCACGCCUGCUGUAGCCCCAGGAAGGGUCAGGACUCACAGAUGCCAACAAGCAAGCAGCCCAUGCCGGAAGCAUCACCACCACCGGCCCCAGCAAAGGCUUCCUGGUAUGUGCGGCUGACCAUCGGCCACUCGGGUAGACAGAAGUGCGGGUGGGCUGUGUGCAUGCCAGGGCAGACGGACAGCCCGGGGUCUCAGGCCAAUGGAAACAGGAAGUUUCCGGCUCCAUUUGAAUACUGGUGGAAAUGCUGGGCCCUCGCACUGAAUAGGACGCUCCAUCCAAGCUUGCCGCCUCCUCGGAGGCUGGGGCCAGUCACCAGGCCUGGCUGUGCUUUCACAGCUGCUUUUCUUAUGGGAGAGCAAGAUCUCCUGGGAUUCAAGACCCUACCAGGAGGAGAAGACGAGGGUCAUGGGAAGGCUGUGUGAGCCCUCAAGGGGCACCAUGGACCCCGAGCACCAGCGAUUUGCGCUCCUGGUUCCGAGAGCCCAGGGCUGAAUCCUGGCAGACGGGGAAGCUGAGCUCUGUCUGACCUGCUCUGGAAAACAACUGGUCCAGAGAAGGACAGAGAUGUCACUUAAUUCUGAGUUGCUGAGGAUAAGCCAGGGGCCCUGGAGGUGACUCUGCUGCCCACAGCAUCCCAGGGGAUGCCACAUCCCCACAGGGGCAGCCCGGGUCCCCCAUAGGAUUGUGUGCCCCCCAUCACCAAGGUCCUUGCCCACUGGUCUGUGCCUCAAUAGGACAGCCUCCUUCUCACACUAUUUUGAAAUAUAAAAAUAACACUCAUCACCCAUCACCCAGUCACUCAGAAUCACACCAGCAGGGGCACAGAGGCGACGGCAUGUAGUUCUCCAGCCUGUUUGUGAGCACGGGUGUACAUGUACACACACACACACACACAAAUGCACAUGUACGGACACAUGCACACACACACGUGCACAUACAGACAUGCACACGCACGUACACACAUGCACACACACACACGUACGCACAUGCGGGGUCAGGGAGCUGUUGCUGUGCGAGGCUGUCGAGGGCUUCUUCACUCAGCGGCACUUGGGAAGCGCUGCUCUGCGGGAGGCCCCUCAUCCAUGUCCUCGUUAUUGGCAGCACAAGUCUCCAAGUGAGGAGGGGCCAUGUUUACCAGCUGUCCUUCCAGCCCACGUCUCCUACGGUUCCUUAUUUUCACAGGUACUGUUUUGCAGACGCAGAUCCCCCAAGCAGCCCACACGUCUUAUCCGGGUGAAGCUUUGCUUUAUGAAGUGCUGCCUGGACCCCUGAUGGUCGGCCCUCCCCGUGGAGACAGUGGCAGGCAGGCGGGGGCGCUCAGGGCUGUCUGCGGGGGGCAGCCAGGACCUCACUGAGGUGGCCGACUGGGUCCACGCCCUCCUCAGCCUGCACUGCUGGACAGGCCCCAAGAAGUCGCGCUCGGCGUGGCCCAAGAACGGGAAGCGGCAGCGUCCUGGCGUCCUGGGUGAGACUUCAAGACGGCUCCCUGCUCCCACCUGGGCUAAAGGUGGAACCCCAGGUGUAAAGAGCCCCUGGGGUACAGGGGAAGCUGGAUCAGCAGACGCCGGCUCUGGGAGGGCCCUGAGGGGCUAUGGAGGGAAGGUGACCCCGCAGUGGCAGCGGCAGCGGCAGCGGAAGCAGGACGGCGCGGCGCCCGACGCCUGAGGCCACUCUCCCUGGACGGGGGGCGGGCGGCACUGAGAGGCGGCCAUAAAAACCAGAGUUUAUUUAAUAAAACAAGAGCCCAUGCGGC
Molecule: non-coding RNA, 4540 nt
Filed under: Pan troglodytes (chimpanzee)
Lineage: Eukaryota; Metazoa; Chordata; Mammalia; Primates; Hominidae
Source: RNAcentral